Non-coding RNA from Xanthomonas fragariae, 75 nucleotides. NCBI's taxonomy places the organism in Bacteria, Pseudomonadati, Pseudomonadota, Gammaproteobacteria, Lysobacterales, Lysobacteraceae. The record is from Rfam.
AUGUACCACUCGUGCACUGCGGUUCUUCCGCGUCGUUCGCACCGACCUGACGACUGCUCGCGACGUUUGUCAGCC